ACAUGUCCUUAACCUUGGCACAACAAAUCUCUAAAUCGAUUGAGACCUGUCUCAGAUACUUCUUGGUUUACAAGAUGGAGGCUGAAAUUAAAGAGAAAGAUCCUCACUCAACUCACAGAGGAGCAGAAUGGGAAGAGGACUUAGUGAGAAUUCCCUGAACACAGGAGAAAACCGAAGCCCAGAGAGUGGAUGGCCAAGUCCAAGGUCACACAGCCAAGUGCAUCCGAGCAGCGCAGGAUCCAGGUUUCCUGCCCCAGUGCUCUUUCUGCAGCCCAUGCCACCUGUUUUCAUGCUAUCUCAGUUCACCUUCCAGCUACACACCUGCAAUCAGAAACAGAAAGUCUGAGAGAGUGUGUGGAGCCAAAGAGGGGACAGCAGUGGUGAGGCCAGUUUCAUGUCUUGUGAUUUAUUUUCUCCCUUUCUUUUUGGACUUUAAUCUUAAGUGGACAGCAAUUUGGAACAGUGUCAGCACCUUGUUGGAUUGUGCUGUUUGGGAGAGGUGACACAGAGUAUUUUAAAGGAGCAGGUUAAGAACUUUUCAUAAGGAAUCAAUUGAGAGAAAAUAAAAUAGAAACAGACUGUCCCACAUUUGGGCUGAGCACCAAACACAUUUUUUUUUUUUUUUUUUUGAGACUGAGUCUUGCUCUGUCACUCAGGCUGGAAUGCAGUGGCGCGAUCUCGGCUCACUGCAGCCUUCGCCUCCCGGGUUCAAGUGAUUCUUCUGCCUCAGCCUCCCAAGUAGCUGGGAUUACAGGUGCCCACCACCAUGCCAGGCUAAUUUUUGUAUUUUUAGUAGAGACGAGGUUUCACCAUGUUGGCCAGGCUGGUCUUGAACUCCUGACCAAGUGAUCCACCUGCUUCGGCCUCCCAAAGUGCUGGGAUUACAGGCACGAGCCACUGCACCUGGCCUCAAACAAGCUUUUUAAUUGCAUUCAGAAGUGCACCAACUAGGCACAGACCUCUGGCAUGGAGACAGAAUGGGCGGUUCUUGGUGUCUGGCCUGGUCUUGCAGAAAUCAGGGAGUUGCGGGGACCAGGCAGCCACUGUGCAUCAGAUAGGAGUUUCAGCAGCAGGCAACAGAAAGCCUGCCAAUGUAGCUGAAAUAAGAAGGGCUUAUUUUUAUCCCUGAACAGAAGCUUCCAGCACUGGUUCAUCAGAUCAGGGCACUGAGCUGGCAUCCCCAUUUACACAGUUUUCCUUUCCUUCACCUUUGUAAGAUGCCUGGCACAGCUCUGAGCAUCAAAUAUCUGUGCCAUGUGGGAGCACACGAGGGGACAAGUGGGGAAUAGGGUCUCCUCUGUCCUCUGUCCCCAGGCUGGCUUCUCUCAUGGUAGAAGGACCCCCACAGCACCAGGCCUCAUAACUACCCUGCUGGUAAACUGCAGGUGCUGUCACGGCUUCCUGCCUUCGUAUAUGAAAUGUUCCUUGGCAGUUGGACUGCUGUUUGUUUACCGCACGCACAGCUCUGCUGCGUCUUGGUUACACCAGUGAGCUAUUGCUCCAUGACAAGCCACACCGAAAUGUAGCAAGCACUUAUUGUUGCCCACAUGUCUCAAGUCAGUUGAGUGUUUCUGCCAAUCGGGGCCUGGCUUGGCCCACCUUGGCUGAGCUUGCUCUGGUGCUAGGGUCAGCUAGACAGGUCGGCAGGGGAGACCAGCUGCUCUAGAAGAGCCUGGACAGGAUGAAUUGGUUCUCCUUCCACAUGCAUCUUGCAUCCCUCUAGCCAAGGAUUUGAACCCAGGUCUCGUCUGACUCCAAAUGCACCAAGAGGAUGGAGCCCAGAGUGACACAGAGGAAGAGGCCCCUGGAUGGAUGCAUGGGGAAGAUCACGGGAAUUACAAGUGACAUACUGAAGUAUGAUCACAAAUGUUUCAAAUUAAGCCUUCCUGCUAAGUUUCCAGAGGUGUGUGGCUUGGAUGAAGUGUUUCCAGACCCCGAUCUACUGCAUGUCCUGCCUGUUGCUGGUUCUUUGCAGCAGUCCAUUGACCAAUGCUGUCUACAGCUUGAGAGCCUCUGCAGGCCAGGGCUGCUCUGUGCACAUCCUACGUUACUAUUCAAACUGCACAGCAGCAUGAAAAACAGGCCCUUCUUUUCUCUCAUUUACACGUAUGUGAAGAAGACACAACAAGUGAGAAAACGUGACCGAAAGCCAUGUGGACAGGUGGCCGCAGGGCCAAACCCAACUUCCAUGAUGUGAUCUGGCUACAGUUUGGAGCCCACAUAUUUCAAUAGUUAUCCCCAGGCCUGGCACGUCAAAGAGGCUCCAGAAAUGUUUGCUGAAGAGACAACAGAUUUACAUCCCAGACACACUGGGCCAAGAGCAGCUGCCAUUGCAGAUUCGAGUCACGUCCUUUUUUCCCUCCUUCUCCUUCUUGGAGUUACAACAGAAGCUGGGGAGGUGAGAGUGCAGAAAGGACGUGGAUGAAGCAGAGAGGCACGUGCCUGUCUCAUUCGCCUCUGGAUCUGCUGCACCCAGGACCGUGCCAGCACAAAGUGGGAGCCCGAUAAAUAUUUAUUGAAGAAAUGAAAGGUGACAAAAGGCAGGAGGGAGACCCCCAAAAGAGUAUGAACCCAGCAUCACAGUGCACUUGUGGCAGAUGGCAGUGCACACCCGGGAGCUACUCUCCUCCGGCCAGAUGCCCUUCUCCCAGCUGCCCGCCGUGUGGCAGCUCUACCCCGGGAGGAAGUACCGAGCAGCGGAUUCCAGUUUCUGGGAAAUAGCAGACCAUGGCCAGAUUGACUCUAUGGAGCAGCUGGUCCUAACAUAUCAGCCGGAGAGGAAAGACUGACACUGGGAGUGGCUGGCCCUGCCGGCCCUGCCUCUUCUGGCCUGGUGUCUCCUCAUGCCCCCUCAGUGAGGAUCUUCAUGUACCUGCUCUUCUGUUUGCACACCCAGCAUAGCCUCCUUGCGGGCGGAAGGCAGUAGGGCCCCUGCACACUCAGUUUCUCUCGUUUUCCUUAGUUAUCAGUCCUGUCCUGUACCACUCGGGUCUGCACUUAGGGCAGCUGGCCUGGAUGGGCUUCACUGGGGCCCUGUCUGUGCGCUGAGCCAGUUUCCCCUGCUGCCUGCAAGCUGUGGGUUCUUUCUCCUCUGUGCCCCUCAUGCUGAUCUUCUAGAUGCCACUCCCAAAUCCCCUUCAUACCCACCAGGAUGUGUGCCCAGCCAGGCCUCCAGCACCCCCAGUGCAGCUCAUGAUUGGAAACUCACCAUCGGCAGGCAGUGGUUUGGUUUAAGAGAUGGCAUUAGAGGGAGCCCAGUCUGGAUGUGGACUUGGAUGCCCCGUGGGUAUCAGUUCUGCUGACACUUUGGCCCAAAAUAGAUCCAGUGCUGAGCAAGCAAUGUACACCGGAGCCUCAGUGAGCCCAUCUGCACAGUGGGGAGCAUGGAGGGAUGGGUUUGGCCUGUGCUUCUGCUUGUUCAGUCCUUCAGCUCACGGAAGGGAUGCUAGUCCGUGAAGGUGACCUCACAGUACUGGUUAAUUAAACUUUAUUGCUCACUGUC
This 3502-nucleotide small RNA is filed under the name Pan troglodytes (chimpanzee). Its description in RNAcentral is "processed transcript". The stretch from base 2280 to 2410 matches the Rfam family "T-cell leukemia/lymphoma 6 conserved region 3". Lineage: Eukaryota; Metazoa; Chordata; Mammalia; Primates; Hominidae. The record is from RNAcentral.